GAUACUAAAGAAAACUAACAUACCAAUAAUUGCUUUUUCUUACGCGAUUUGUUUUCAAUUUGUAUGUAUCCGUUUUAUUAUCAAUGUUCUUUCUGUGGUACGAUUGCCAAUGAUACAACUCUCCACAAGAGACCAAAAUGACACAUAAAGUAACAACUAGAGGUCGCCGUACGGCCUUCAAAUAUAAGCAAAGCCCAUACUGCAUAGACAGCUAUAAAAGGCCCCGAAAUGACAAUGUAAAACAAUUGUAACGAGAAAACUAACGGCCUUAUUAAUAUAAAAAAAAAAAAAAAAAAAAAAAUGAACGAAAAACAAAUAUGUUACACAUAAAUAAAUAAAUAAAUUCUAGCCC
RNAcentral lists this long non-coding RNA (352 nucleotides) under Mytilus galloprovincialis (Mediterranean mussel). Lineage: Eukaryota; Metazoa; Mollusca; Bivalvia; Mytilida; Mytilidae. The record is from RNAcentral.